Molecule: long non-coding RNA, 2085 nt
Filed under: Glycine max (soybean)
Lineage: Eukaryota; Viridiplantae; Streptophyta; Magnoliopsida; Fabales; Fabaceae
Description: long non-coding RNA (GMAX_LNC002456)
Source: RNAcentral
UUUAAUGUGUUUGGCAAUGGAAGGAAAAACAGGCCGUAGAAAUAAAGUAGUAGCCAAAUGUUUUCCCACAACCAACUGGGACAAUUGGCCAACUUUCUCCUCAUAUGGUGUGAGUAUCUUCUUUCUGUCCAAUCCAUUUACUUAUUACUAUCCAAAUCUAUGAUUCACUACUUGAAAAACGAACUAAGCUUGCUGUUAAGAUAUUAGGUUUUAGAGAAAUGCUAGCAACACUCUCUAUUAUUGGUUGAAAUUUAUUGAAAAUCACAAAUUUUGUGGGUCUCACCUCUCAUUUAAUGACUCACCUGAUUUUGUAGUUUUCAAUAAAUUUAAACCAAUGGAAAAGUGUGUGUUAGGAGGAGUGUGUUAGAGAGUGUGUUGCUAGCACUCCUCUAGGUUUUAUUAGGUUAUCAGUCUUAUUAGCAGGCUUGGGUUAGUAAUAGUAGUAGUAUUUAACCUUGUCAUUAGCAUAUAUAGGGCUACCAGGUCAGGGUAUUGCAAUAAUAUUUUAAGUUCAUUACCAUUAACCUACUUUCUCUUCCCUAACACUAGACCUAUAAUACUUAUCACUUACCAUGGGAGAAUAUAUGCGAGUCAAUACUCCCUUCCUCAAAAGUUUCAUCUUCAGGUCUUUAUCACCCCACACAACAUGCUCAUUAUACCUGGAUCAACAAGCAAAGACAAAUGUUUUUGGAAGAUCAAUAACAUAGUGGUUAAAAUAUGGGAGAGUUAGUGCAUAAAUAAAUACAAAGAAUUGAAGCCAACAUACCACUUCAUCAUUUCUUCUUCAGUUGCAGUUGAAGCAAUAAUAAAUGCCUGAAAUUGACAAGUGUAUUAGGAGGAACAAGUGCUUACAUACAAGUUAACAUUCCCACACCAGAAAAUAUAAAAAGGGUAGUUCAGUGCAUGAGGCUCCCCCUAUUGUUGAAUCUAAUGAGGGCCAGCUCUAGGAAGCAUUAUCCCAUAUCCAGGAAGGCCAAUUGUAAUACUAGAACCUGUGACCUUACCAUUACACAAGUGUCACACCUUUCACACUAGAGAAAAGAUACUCAACCAAAUUCACUGACAGCCAAACUUAAGUUCAAGCUUUAUAAAUGAGCCAAUCUAUUUGUGAACUAUUGAACUCCAGCUUGUUAAGUGCUCAAUCAAUCUCGUUCGAUUAGCCAAAUAAAAAAGUUCAAACUUAAAGUAGUAACUAGCUUAUUAUGUAUACCUAGAUUAUUAUAAAUUUAUCAUUUUGUUUAUUAUAUUUACUAGAAAUAUUAUAAUUUUAUUUCUUAUUGUCCUACCCAUAUCAUUUAUCUUAUUAUUUCAAUCAUCAAGAUUCAUAUUUUAAAUACACAACCAUAAACUUUCUUCAAACAAUUGACCAUUUCUAUCAUUAAAGAUUCCAUUUCUAAUCUCAAAUCAUCAUUAUAAAUACAAAAUUAUUCCACCUCCGGUCCUAUUUAUAAACCUAUUUAUAAAAAACCAAGUGAUAGUGUAAAAUACACUAUCACUUGUUUCUCAUAUAAAGGACCGAAGGUAGUAUUUUAUUUCUAUUUUUACUUCACCUAGUACAAAAUUAUGUUAAAUAAUAAAAUAUUAAAUUAAUAAAUAAACACUUUUUACAGAAUUUUGAUAAAAAAAAUAAUCAAACCAUAAACUAACUCAAAUAAGUCAACAAUCCCAAGCAUCAUAUAUUUUAAACAAGUCAAACUCAAAUUUUAAAUUUAACUUGUUUAAACCGUAAGCGAAGCUUGAGCAAUCUCUUUUUCCUCGCAAGUCAAACCUCAAUUUCAAGUGUUUAGCUUGUCUCACUUACACUCCUACAUACCGGUAUAAGAAAUCCUGUUUUCUGACAUACAAUCAAAGCAGAUAACUGAACAGGACAGGACAAAGAAUAAUAAAAUCCGGAAACUUACAGAUCUAUCAAAUUCCAACAUGAAGCAUCUUUUGACAUCUUCUUUUGUAGGUUUGCAACCACAGCGGUCACGUCUAGAAGUUAAGUCUGAGAAUUUAGCAUAUGUGUAAUGUAAAACAGCAGCCUCUUCCAAUUUGAUUUCACUAGCAUAAUUCAGAAGAACUAUCAGGGUAAUAACAAAAAAG